This 469-nucleotide ribosomal RNA is filed under the name uncultured bacterium. RNAcentral's name for it is "partial 16S ribosomal RNA". It matches the Rfam family "Bacterial small subunit ribosomal RNA", at positions 28 to 508 of the family's 1533-position model. The record is from RNAcentral.
GACGAACGCUGGCGGCGUGCUUAACACAUGCAAGUCGAACGGAAAGGCCCUGCUUUUGUGGGGUGCUCGAGUGGCGAACGGGUGAGUAACACGUGAGUAACCUGCCCUUGACUUUGGGAUAACUUCAGGAAACUGGGGCUAAUACCGGAUAGGAGCUCCUGCUGCAUGGUGGGGGUUGGAAAGUUUCGGCGGUUGGGGAUGGACUCGCGGCUUAUCAGCUUGUUGGUGGGGUAGUGGCUUACCAAGGCUUUGACGGGUAGCCGGCCUGAGAGGGUGACCGGCCAAUGGGGGACUGAGAAGCGGCCCAGCCCCCGAGGGGGGGAGGAGGGGGGGAAUUUUGAAAAAGGGGGGGAAGCCGGAGGCAGAAACGCCGGGGGGGGAAUGAGGGCCUUGGGGUUGAAAACCGCUUCCGCCUGUGACGAAGGGUGGGGGAGGGUAAGGGGAAAAAAAGCACCGGCUAACUACGGGC